CCUACGGGAGUCAGCAGUGGGGAAUAUUGCACAAUGGGGGAAACCCUGAUGCAGCGACGCCGCGUGAGUGAAGAAGUAUUUCGGUAUGUAAAGCUCUAUCAGCAGGGCAGAAAUAGCGACCUUUGGGUCGCCAGACGGUACCUGACUAAGAAGCCCAGGCUAACUACGUGCCAGAAGCCGCGGUAAUACGUAGGGGGCAAGCGUUAUCCGGAUUUACUGGGUGUAAAGGGAGCGUAGACGGAAGAACAAGUCUGAAGUGAAAUGCCGGGGCUUAACCCCGGAACUGCUUUGGAAACUGUGCAGCUAGAGUGCAGGAGAGGUAAGUGGAAUUCCUAGUGUAGCGGUGAAAUGCGUAGAUAUUAGGAGGAACACCAGUGGCGAAGGCGGCUUACUGGACUGUAACUGACGUUGAGGUUCGAAAGCGUGGGGAGCAAACAGGAUUAGAUACCCUUGUAGUC
Molecule: ribosomal RNA, 458 nt
Filed under: uncultured bacterium
Lineage: Bacteria
Description: partial 16S ribosomal RNA
Rfam family: Bacterial small subunit ribosomal RNA
Source: RNAcentral